This is a long non-coding RNA of Cornus florida, 431 nucleotides long. RefSeq lists it as uncharacterized. The record is from RefSeq and is a predicted model, not a curated record. The transcript has 2 exons. NCBI's taxonomy places the organism in Eukaryota, Viridiplantae, Streptophyta, Magnoliopsida, Cornales, Cornaceae.
GCACUCUCUUCUACACUCGCGGCACUCACCCUCUCUCUCUAUAUCUCCCGAGAGUUCCAACAACCACCAUGAGUCCGUGGUCGUGAAGAAGACAGCCGAGCUUGUGCCGACGAGCUUGCAGUUUCUCUCUCCUAUACGAUAAAUUCUUCAACAGAGACGACACUUCCUCUGCCAUUUGAUGGGAAAGAAUUCAACUUCACUAAAGUUGGCAGGAAGAGUUGCUAAUCUAGUUUGAAGCAACUGAAGAUGAUCAAGUCCAGUUCUUCCCCAGUGCACCCAUUGAUGUCUAGAACUCUCCAAGUGUUGUUGCCAUAAAUGUAUGUACUCCCUUUCUUGUACUUCGUUUCCUAAAGAACUUAUAUUUGGAGGAAAGUUGCAGUAAGCUGGUCUUUGUUAGUCCCAUUGAAUAUGGGCAUGUUCUUUUGAUCCCA